This 7176-nucleotide long non-coding RNA is filed under the name Physcomitrium patens. RNAcentral describes it as "long non-coding RNA (PPAT_LNC012178)". Lineage: Eukaryota; Viridiplantae; Streptophyta; Bryopsida; Funariales; Funariaceae. The record is from RNAcentral.
GCACCUCUGAUUGCAUUGUGACCAUACAUUGCCAAACUCCUGUCUUCCAGAAAUAAAUUGAGUGAACAAUAAGAACGCUAGAGUAGAUGCACUGCCAAUUUAGCACAGCGAGAGAAAUAUACCCACAGGCGCCAGCUCGUUCAGGUUCUGGAUACGAAACAGUGGAACCCUAGAUUUUAGCGUGUGUAAAGAGCUCGCUGAAGCAAGAACGUUAGGUUGAUUCGAUAACCUGAUUUCGCUUUUAAAAUUAAGCGCGAACUCUAGCUCAGGAAGGAAUACUAUUGAAAUUGAAUUGCACACUUCUAUGCUACGCUAUGCAAUGCAAUAAUAUGAUAUGAUACAAAUUGGUGAGGAUGGGGAGUAAAAAGGAGAGGUGGGGUGGAAUCUAAGCGGAGUUGGGAGCGGCGCGGAGCACAAGCACUUCCAGUGUCAGUCCUGGUCCGAAGCCAAUGAAGAAUCCGAACUCGCUGCCCUCGCCCAAAGUGGACGCACCCACCUUCACAGACCUGUGCCGAAUCUGAUCCAACACAAACAGCACAGAGGCGCUAGACAUGUUGCCAAAGUCAAAGUUUUGGAAAUCUCUUUUUGAGAUAUUGAAGGUGGAUAUCAAGCUUUCUUCGGCAUUUCAUCCUCAAACGGACGGCCAAACAGAACGGGUGAAUCAAGUUUUAGAGCAAUAUUUACGUUGCACCAUCAACUAUCAACAAGAUGAUUGGGCCGCAUAUCUACCGCUAGCCGAGUUCGCAUAUAACAACACCCUUCAUGCGUCAACUCAACAAACGCCAUUCUUUUCCAAUUAUGGAUACCAUCCAAAGCUUGACUUAUGGAGUUCGUCAACGAUUAACAAUCCGGCAGCUGAAGGAUUGGUGAAGGAGCUUUCGCAACUUCAAACUACAUUGAAGCUUCAAUUGUAAACUGCCCAAGAAUCUUACAAGGCGUCCGUGGACAAAUUUCAGAAUCAGGCACCUAAAUUCACGAUUGGAGACAAAGUUUGGCUGCUUCGACGAAAUAUUAAGACCAAGCGGCCAUGUGAGAAAUUGGACUAUCGGAGAUUGGGACCAUUUGUUAUCCAGAAGCAGAUCAAUCCUGUAGCGUAUCGUCUGGAGUUACCAGCUACUAUGAAGGUACAUCCUGUCUUUCAUGUUUCUUUGUUGGAGCCUUAUCGAAAAUCGUCUUUUCCUGGAAGAGUAUAAUGUCCACCACCUAGCAUAGAAAUAGAGAACCACAAAGAAUACGAGGUGGAAAAGGUCCUGGAUUCACGACAAAGACGGGGUAAAUUAGAAUACUUUGUGCAUUGGAGCGGUUACGAUAUUAAUGAACGAAUAUGGGAGCCGACCAAAAAUCUCGCGAAUGCGCCGCAAAAGGUACAGGAGUUUCAUCGACGAUAUCCUGAGAAACCCAAGCCGGUUCGACGAUAGCUUCUUACUGAAGCUUGCUCAUCCAGAAAACAGAAAAGAAGAGAGAGCACCACCAAAAUCCAUAGUUGAUGUAGUCAUUCUCUCCAAGAUAGCGUAGAACUUUGUUAGUAGCCCAAGUUUGUUCUUAUUGUUUUAGCCUUUGAAUAUGGAUAGCUAAGAUACUACACUUGUCAUGUCAUCUCAAGCAACUAGCUCACGAAGACGACCGCGAGAUGAAGAAUCGCCUGCACCACGACGACGUCGAAGGAUUCUGAGCAACAAAUCGCUGGUGAUUGUAUUUGAGGUCGAGCCUGCCUACAAUGGUCAGCUAGAAGGAGUGUUUGUAGGACAAUUUCACAAUGAAGACACGGAGGUUCAAACUGGGUCAGAAGUUGAAGGCGUGGGCCACUACCGUUGGCUUCAAGGACCAUUGAAUCACUUGCCUCGUGAACAACAAUUGGAGUUCAUAGCAGAGGUUAUGCGACAGAUCUUCAUUUUCUUGCGUUGGUAUUGACUGACGAUAACAUUGCUUCUCGGAGACCUCGAAGCUAAAGGAGGAGGUGAUGUUAGGGACAUAGUCCUUAGACCUUUUUAGAGACAAGUUUCUAGAACCUUCUAGAAAGAAGUCUCUAGAAACUUCCAGAAGAUUCUUUGAAUAUUUUCUUAGAAUAUUCUUUAAAGAUUUCCUAAAGAUUCUAUGAAGAUUCCCUAAAGAUUCCCUUAGAAGGCUCUAGAAGAUUCUUAGAAUAUUCUAGUAGAUUCUAGGAAGUUACUUGAGAAGCUUCAUAGCUCUUGGGUAGUUGCUCGAGAAGCUUCAUAGUUCUUGGGAAGCUUCUUGAUGCGCUUCCUUAGAACCAUAGGCCAGUAGUAUAUAUAGGAGUCGAGGCUGAAGAGUUCUUCAGUCUCGACAACACAUCUCUUGAAGCUCUAGCUCAAUCCUCUUGGCGUUGCUCUUGUACUCAUCUGAUAAUCUAGUUCUUGUCAUUUCUUCUUGAACUUCUUGUUUAGAUUUCUUGUUUGUAUUUUUGGUCCGUGACAUAAAGAACAUUCUACAUCAACAUAUUGAAGAAUCGUUGGCGCAUGUCGGAGGAUGCACAGAUUCAGGGAGGAUAGAUGUCAUGAUAUAACACGAUUAAUAGAUGAAAGAGUGUGGAGAUUAUUAUAAUUUAAGAGAUCUUAGUUCAAAGUAUUAGAACAAAUUAUCUUAGAAAUAUAGUUAAUAGCCAAAGGGAUAGAAAAAUUAAAAGGUAUCAAUGCUGCCUUUUAGAAAGGUGAUUUCUACUUACUUUGUAGUACCAUAAGUAAGGCAAAUCAAAGUAGAUUGAGAAAAUAAAUCAUAUAGGAAUCUUUAGAAGAAAGUUAAGAGUAAAUUCUAGAAAAAAAUUACUUAGAAAAACUAGAUAUUGAUACCCGGAGAGACCCGGUUAUGAACCAGGGUGGAAAUCAGACCUUGAGGCACAAAACCGAGUCUUGACGACGACUCCGGGACUCUUUGGCAGAUCAGAGAGUGGGGUUGGAGAGAAGGUUGGAUAGAAUUUCUAUGGGCGUUGAUUUUGGGUGAUUUGGAGUUGAUAUGAAUUUGUAAGAGCUUUGCAAAGUUGAGUUAUUUUUCGGAUGACUUGGGUUUUAUGAAAUAAAAUGGGGUUUAUGUUUUGAGUGAUUUCGAGAGUUUUGUUGCAGAUCUAUAGGUGAAUUUUUUUGAUGAAUACAUGUUGUGAAUUUGAGCACAUCUCCGUACUGCAUUGGCCUACUCGGUAAUGGAGCAGUUCAUGGUGCGGAUCCUCUCAACUGGGCCAAGACCGCCAAGGCCAUGGAAUGCAGCCACCUCGAAGAAAUCAAGCGGAUGGUCGACACUUACCAAAAUGCCACCCAGGUCAUGAUCGAGGGAGCCACCCUCACUGUACCUCAGGUAGCAGCCAUUGCUCGCAGACCUGACGUGCAUGUCGUGCUCGAUGCUGCCAAUGCCAAGAGUAGAGUGGACGAGAGCUCCAACUGGGUGCUCGACAGGAUCAUGGGCGGAGGUGACAUCUACGGCGUUACCACCGGGUUCGGAGCGACCUCUCAUCGUCGCACGCAGCAAGGAGUGGAGCUCCAGCGCGAACUCAUCCGCUUCCUGAAUGCGGGAGUCCUCAGCAAGGGUAACUCCCUGCCAUCCGAGACUGCCCGAGCGGCGAUGCUAGUGCGUACCAACACGCUGAUGCAGGGCUAUUCUGGCAUCCGCUGGGAGAUCCUCCAAGCUAUGGAGAAGCUACUCAACGCGCACGUCACCCCCAAGUUGCCCUUGCGGGGUACCAUCACGGCAUCCGGCGACCUCGUCCCCUUGUCGUAUAUCGCCGGCCUGCUUACCGGUCGCCCCAAUUCCAAAGCCGUCACCGAGGACGGACGAGAGGUUUCCGCGCUGGAGGCCUUGCGCAUCGCAGGCGUGGAGAAGCCCUUCGAGCUGGCGCCCAAGGAAGGGCUCGCCCUUGUCAACGGCACCGCAGUCGGUUCCGCCCUCGCUUCCACCGUGUGCUACGAUGCCAACAUCAUGGUGUUGCUCGCCGAGGUUCUGUCCGCGCUCUUUUGCGAGGUAAUGCAGGGCAAGCCCGAAUUUGCCGACCCCCUGACUCACAAGCUGAAGCACCACCCCGGACAGAUGGAAGCUGCGGCUGUCAUGGAGUGGGUGCUGGACGGGAGUUCCUUCAUGAAGGCUGCCGCCAAGUUCAAUGAGACCGACCCCCUGCGCAAGCCCAAGCAGGACAGAUACGCGCUGCGAACUUCCCCGCAGUGGCUGGGCCCUCAGGUGGAGGUCAUCCGCAACGCCACCCACGCCAUCGAGCGGGAGAUCAACUCUGUGAACGACAAUCCCAUCAUCGACGCUGCCAGGGGCAUCGCCCUGCACGGCGGCAACUUCCAGGGCACGCCCAUCGGCGUGUCUAUGGACAACACGCGCCUGGCGCUGGCCGCCAUCGCUAAGCUCAUGUUCGCACAAUUCUCCGAACUUGUGAACGACUACUACAACAACGGAUUACCGUCCAAUUUGAGCGGGGGACCCAACCCCAGCCUGGAUUACGGCAUGAAAGGGGCAGAGAUCGCCAUGGCCUCGUACUUAUCUGAGAUUAACUACCUAGCCAACCCGGUCACCACCCAUGUCCAAAGCGCGGAGCAACACAACCAAGAUGUGAACUCACUGGGAUUGGUGUCAGCCCGCAAAACGGAGGAAGCCAUGGAGAUUCUCAAGCUCAUGAGCGCCACCUUCUUGGUAGGCUUGUGCCAGGCUGUCGACCUGCGUCAUGUCGAAGAGACCAUGCAGUCGGCCGUGAAGCAAGUAGUGACACAGGUGGCCAAGAAGACGCUCUUCAUGGGCAGCGACGGAUCACUGCUGCCAUCACGCUUCUGCGAAAAGGAACUACUGAUGGUAGUGGAUCGUCAGCCGGUGUUCAGCUACAUCGACGAUUCCACCAGUGAUUCAUACCCUCUAAUGGAGAAACUGCGAGGGGUGCUGGUGAGCCGUGCCUUGAAGAGUGCCGACAAGGAGACCUCCAACGCAGUGUUUAGGCAGAUUCCAGUGUUUGAGGCAGAGCUGAAGCUGCAGCUGAGCCGUGUGGUGCCCGCGGUGCGAGAAGCAUAUGACACAAAGGGACUAUCCUCGGUUCCCAACAGGAUUCAAGACUGUAGGACGUAUCCAUUAUACAAGCUAGUGCGCGGAGACUUGAAGACGCAGCUCCUGUCCGGGCAGAGGACGGUGUCUCCUGGGCAAGAGAUUGAGAAGGUGUUCAAUGCCAUUUCUGCAGGCCAAUUGGUGGCUCCUUUGUUGGAAUGCGUUCAAGGCUGGACAGGCACACCAGGGCCCUUCCCCGCUCGCGCCUCUUGCUAGUUGACACUGCUUCACCUCCCAAUUUUGUUCCGUUCAUCUUCGUGUGGGUCACAUUGACGUUACAAUUAACUAAUAUUGUACAUUAGUAGGAAGUGCGUCACAUUGACGUUACAAUUAACAUUGUACAUUAGUAGGAGAUUCUUGUGUAAAUGCUUGGAGUUGAGGUUGUGUGGUGCCUUCACCCUUGACCACCUCUGUUAACUCACACAGCUUUUAAAUUGCAAUUGCAAUGCGUAGUUGUGUAUAUAUUUCCUAACUUUAGAAGUAGAAGAGGAAGAAAGGUUCCAUUGUUUGCAAGCAAAAAUGAAAAAUGAAUAAGAGUUCACUUCAGCAACAACCAAGACAUUUACUUGAGUGGUCAUGGAUUGUUCUAAUUUGUUUAGAUGUCUUUGAAUGUUUAGUGGAGUUUCAAGAGGAUGGAUGUUUAGCGAUUGAUGUGAUGAUCUUCCCUUUAUUUUGUGACUUUGCUUUUGUUCUGUCCAAGCUUCCCUAUUGGUGCGCCAAAUGAUCAUGAAUUUGUUCAGGUAUUGGUUAAUUUGAAUGUUAUCAUUAGCACAAGAUAUAGUUGUUUUCAAAACUUUAAGAUUAGACAAGAUCAUGAAUUUGCUAGAAGAUGAUUUUAACCAUAUAUAUUAUUAACCCAAUGUGCUUUACACCAUGCCCAAAAUUUGGAUAUUAUAUUAUUCCAUGCCCAAGACUUGGAUAUUAUAUUGCACCAUGUCCAAAAUUUGGAUAUUCCAUCACACCAUGCCUAAUAUUUGAAUUUUAUGUUACACCAAGCCCAAAAUGUCUUGAAUACCACACCAUUUAACAUAUUCCAACUACAUUUGAAUUUUGAGAAUUUGGUCAAACCGGUGGAGGAUUAACUUUCUCAAUGACCGACAGACAACAAAUCACAGUUUUCAUGAAUUGUUGGCUGGGGCAUGCUACCAUGAUACCAUGAGUUCAAUGCAACCAACCAAAUAAGAGCCAAUUCCUUGCAGACUCUUCUCAGUUUCCAAUGCUACAGCAAGAGAUUCAAAAGUGACGAGAAACAGCUCAAAGAAACAGUGGGUAGUGUCGAACAAUCGCAGCUGAAUUAGAGGCUGCAAAUAUAAAAGCUCAAACGAACACAUGGUCCGGAGAUUCACCGAUGAAUUACAUUCCUGAAUUUCAGAUCCAUCGGCACAAUGCGCACUAGACACUCCCACUUCAUCUUCUUCCAACCUAAAUUUUCUAAAUAAGACUGUACUUCGCACCUCUGAUUGCAUUGUGACCAUACAUUGCCAAACUCCUGUCUUCCAGAAAUAAAUUGAGUGAACAAUAAGAACGCUAGGGUAGAUGCACUGCCAAUUUAGCACAGCGAGAGAAAUAUACCCACAGGCGCCAGCUCGUUCAGGUUCUGGAUACGAAACAGUGGAACCCUAGAUUUUAGCGUGUGUAAAGAGCUCGCUGAAGCAAGAACGUUAGGUUGAUUCGAUAACCUGAUUUCGCUUUUAAAAUUAAGCGCGAACUCUAGCUCAGGAAGGAAUACUAUUGAAAUUGAAUUGCACACUUCUAUGCUACGCUAUGCAAUGCAAUAAUAUGAUAUGAUACAAAUUGGUGAGGAUGGGGAGUAAAAAGGAGAGGUGGGGUGGAAUCUAAGCGGAGUUGGGAGCGGCGCGGAGCACAAGCACUUCCAGUGUCAGUCCUGGUCCGAAGCCAAUGAAGAAUCCGAACUCGCUGCCCUCGCCCAAAGUGGACGCACCCACCUUGAUAAUGUGUGCCGAAUCUGAUCCAACACAAACAGCACAGAGGCGCUAGACAUGUUGCCAAACUCGGACAAUAUGUCCCUGCUCCCUUGCAUCUUGUCCUUCGUCAGCUUCAGCUUCGCCUCCACCUGAUCGAGAAUGGCUGGACCUCCGGGAUGCACCGCCCAGAACAUCUCGUUCCAUGCCGGUGAUC